GCAAUGGAGUUCAGCGCGUCAGAGCUACACCUCUGCUGAGCCGUCAAGGCAGUGGAGCUCCGAGCCUAAAAGCUACAAUGUUGAAUCCUCGAGGUCUUGGAAUUUGGGCCAACAGGGCCAGAACCCGGAGGGAUCGAGGCAAUGGAACCUGGGGAAGCAAGAUGCUUACAACCCGAGUGAUGGUCGAAGAUCGUAUGAGCCUCAAAGCUACAAUGUUGAAUCCUCGAGGUCUUGGAAUUCGGGCCAGCAGGGCCAGAACCCGGAGGCAUCGAGGCAAUGGAACCUGGGGAAGCAAGAUGCUUACAACCCGAGUGAUGGUCGAAGAUCGUAUGAUCAGCACUGGAGGAGAUAGCAAGAGUUGUAUAUUAGCUGGGUCCUGGAGGCGGUUCUUGGGAGAUUUUCUUUCAUUUGAUGUUAGGCCUGUU
This 425-nucleotide long non-coding RNA is filed under the name Setaria viridis. Its description in RNAcentral is "long non-coding RNA (SVIR_LNC006206)". The record is from RNAcentral. Lineage: Eukaryota; Viridiplantae; Streptophyta; Magnoliopsida; Poales; Poaceae.